GCCAGGAUGUGAGUUGUGUCCCUUAGGGUGAUGCUCUUGCUGCUUCAGUUAUGUGAAUCCAUUAUUCUUGGGUCAGGGUGUGUGGAUGGGGAGUGUGAUCCUGUUGUACGUACUGUAGAACUUGAUCUACAAAUUUUCUCAAGCCAAACCAUUCAAACUCAUAGAGCUUUGGCCAAGUUGAUGGACAACAUACCUGUAUCCUGACUGAGCCCAAAUGAGGUUCUUUCUGAGAAAAGAUGAGCUUAUCCUUGCCUGAGAACUGAGAUGAAACCAUCCAGCAGAGGGAGCUUCCCCAACAGGUCUGUUGAGUAGCUUCUUGGGACCAGUGACUGAAAUGGGUCCCCUUUUCUAAAGAACUGCAAAUUAUCACCCUCUAGAGGAUGAUCUCACAGAGAAUAAUUUUGGUGCCAGGCGGCUCAUGUAUACAUAUGAAUGUGCUGAUCUAUGUUGACUGUGAAGGUUAUUCUUGUAUCAGUUGUAAUCCUUGGGAAGGACCCCCAAUCACCCCAGUCUAAUGUGGAAAAGGAGACAGAAGUUCCCUCUGACCACAGGCCACCUCAUAAUCCCUCCAUUGUAAUGAACUCUUUCCUUUGUGUAGCAAUUUGCAUCGCCAACCCCAAAGUGUCUCCUGUGAGGGAUGGAACUUCUGUCCUGAGUAGUUCUCAUGAAGUCCUAUAGCUUUCUCAUCAGUUAAAAUAUCCUUCCACUGCUUAAAUGUGAGAUAGCUUGAUUAUUUAUUUAUGCAUUUGCUUUUUCUCUGUUUGAUGCACGUGAGAGAUGGAGAGGAAAGAAGACUACAGGGGACAUGAAAAUGUAUAAUCCUUUUGUCUGCACUGUACGUAAGAGAGAUUGCUAGCCAGUGCAAUCCUGACUCUUAUUUUGAAGAUGCCAGCCCUCCUAACGAAUCCUGCUGACUGAAGAAAGACUGUUCCUAAUUCCUCAGAGGAGUCAUUAUCUCCUGUGUAUAUAGGAACAUUUUUGUACCCUGGACAGUAAAAUUGACUUCAUCACCGUUGGUCAUUGUACCCCACACAAAAAUCA
Molecule: long non-coding RNA, 1041 nt
Organism: Mustela erminea (ermine)
Lineage: Eukaryota; Metazoa; Chordata; Mammalia; Carnivora; Mustelidae
Exons: 3
Source: RefSeq, a predicted model, not a curated record